GUUUGAUCCUGGCUCAGAACGAACGUUAGCGGCGCGCCUAACACAUGCAAGUCGCACGAGAAAGGGCUUCGGCCCCGGUAAAGUGGCGCACGGGUGAGUAACACGUAGGUAAUCUCCCCUCAAGUGGUGGAUAACCCUCCGAAAGGAGAGCUAAUACAGCAUGAGACCACGAGCUCUUCGGAGCUUGCGGCCAAAGCAGGCCUCUACAUGUAAGCUUGCGCUGGAGGAUGAGCCUGCGGCCCAUCAGGUAGUUGGCAGGGUAAUGGCCUACCAAGCCUAAGACGGGUAGCUGGUCUGAGAGGAUGAACAGCCACACUGGAACUGACACACGGUCCAGACUCCUACGGGAGGCAGCAGUGGGGAAUCUUGCGCAAUGGGCGAAAGCCUGACGCAGCGACGCCGCGUGAGCGAUGAAGGCCUUCGGGUUGUAAAGCUCUGUGGGGAGGGAAGAAUAAGGGUUGGCUAAUACCCAGCUCGAUGACGGUACCUCCUUAGCAAGCACCGGCUAACUCUGUGCCAGCAGCCGCGGUAAUACAGAGGGUGCAAACGUUGUUCGGAAUUACUGGGCGUAAAGCGCGUGCAGGCGGCCUUGCAAGUCGGACGUGAAAUCCCACGGCUCAACCGUGGAAGUGCAUUCGAAACUGCGAGGCUAGAGUCCUGGAGAGGAAAGUGGAAUACUCGGUGUAGAGGUGAAAUUCGUAGAUAUCGAGUGGAACACCGGUGGCGAAGGCGGCUUUCUGGACAGGUACUGACGCUGAGACGCGAAAGCGUGGGGAGCAAACAGGAUUAGAUACCCUGGUAGUC
This 804-nucleotide ribosomal RNA is filed under the name uncultured delta proteobacterium. RNAcentral describes it as "bacterial SSU rRNA". It matches the Rfam family "Bacterial small subunit ribosomal RNA", at positions 11 to 795 of the family's 1533-position model. Lineage: Bacteria; Deltaproteobacteria. The record is from RNAcentral.